Molecule: ribosomal RNA, 497 nt
Filed under: uncultured bacterium
Lineage: Bacteria
Description: partial 16S ribosomal RNA
Rfam family: Bacterial small subunit ribosomal RNA
Source: RNAcentral
GAUGAACGCUGGCGGCGUGCCUAAUACAUGCAAGUCGAGCGAACAGACGAGGAGCUUGCUCCUCUGACGUUAGCGGCGGACGGGUGAGUCACACGUGGAUAACCUACCUAUAAGACUGGGAUAACUUCGGGAAACCGGAGCUAAUACCGGAUAAUAUAUUGAACCGCAUGGUUCAAUAGUGAAAGACGGUUUUGCUGUCCCUUAUAGAUGGAUCCGCGCCGCAUUAGCUAGUUGGUAAGGUAACGGCCUACCAAGGCGACGAUGCGUAGCCGACCUGAGAGGGUGAUCGGCCACACUGGAACUGAGACACGGUCCAGACUCCUACGGGAGGCAGCAGUAGGGAAUCUUCCGCAAUGGGCGAAAGCCUGACGGAGCAACGCCGCGUGAGUGAUGAAGGUCUUCGGAUCGUAAAACUCUGUUAUUAGGGAAGAACAAAUGUGUAAGUAACUAUGCACGUCUUGACGGUACCUAAUCAGAAAGCCACGGCUAACUACGUG